RNAcentral lists this unclassified non-coding RNA (579 nucleotides) under Hevea brasiliensis (rubber tree). The record is from RNAcentral. Lineage: Eukaryota; Viridiplantae; Streptophyta; Magnoliopsida; Malpighiales; Euphorbiaceae.
GGAUAACAUGUCCUAUCUGGAUAUGUGAAAGCAUUCAGAAAAGUGUUCAAGCUUCCCUUCAACAGUUCAACAAAUGGUUCUUUCAGGGGAUACUUUCUUGAACCGCACAGUACACUAUGUUCUAAUAUGUGAGGAAUUCCAGUAGAAUCUUUCGGAGGUGUCCGGAAGACAACACCGAAAACUUUAUUCUCAUCGUCAUUGGAAACCGACAUUACUUCAGCGCCUGUUUUCUUGUGUUUAUACAAUACAGCUUUAGAUUUACACUCAUCAAUAAACUGCUCAGACACUUUCUCGAACCCGAAUUUCUCCGCAACUUCAUCAUCAGCACCAAGAAACUCUUGAGAUGAUUGAGGGGAAGAAGUAGCGAUAGCUCGAACAGAUAAAGGGUAAAACUGUCUUUUCAAGUUGAUUGAAGAUGAUAUUCCGCGAACGUUACUCCGAACAAGUGAACGCCGGCGUUGAAGAUUCUGGAGUAAACGGUGUCGUCUAGCUGAGUAAGAACCGAAUCUGUGUGAAGAGCGUGAGAAGAUUCUAGAGAAAGCGAGAGUGGAAGUAGAAGAUAGAGAGCGAAGAAGCACC